CUCAUUUGUUUGUCCUUUAUUUUGCUUGUUUUUUCAAUGAAUUUUGGAAAUCAAAUGACGAUGCCUGAGGCAAAACCAUGUGAAAUCUACGCACGUCAUUUUUGUCGUAAAUGGGAGGUUUUGAUUUGCAAAGCAUUUUGCAAGAUUGAAUGCAAAAAUAUACAUGCGACCGGAAAAUGUUUCGAUGACAAAUCUUGUCAUUGUUAUUGUUGUUAAGUUAUUGUUAUUUUAUAUAUAGUAGCAUUGGAAGGUUCCACCUUUCAAAUGUGCAAUAUGAUGAAAUAAUAAAUAAAGUGGUUGGUUGUACUUUUUUCUUAGUUUUGGUAUUUAUAUGGUUUUAUGCUCGUGUUGAA
Medicago truncatula (barrel medic) is the source of this 353-nucleotide long non-coding RNA. RefSeq lists it as uncharacterized. The transcript has 2 exons. NCBI's taxonomy places the organism in Eukaryota, Viridiplantae, Streptophyta, Magnoliopsida, Fabales, Fabaceae. The record is from RefSeq and is a predicted model, not a curated record.